AUGCAACUAGGCCGGUGUUCAAUGCCAAGACCACCGUGUCGUCGAGCUUCUUCUCCCCGACAUCGCUCUCUCCGAUCAAAUACCUACCGACAUAUUCUCCAAUCUAACUCACCUCCGUACUCUCAGUCUUCGACGGUCUUGCUCUCGCUGCUAAGAUUUUUUCGUUACUCUCUCGAUGUUGUUACUAUUUGUGACUGGUUCAUCGAUUCAGCUUAA
Vicia faba (fava bean) is the source of this 216-nucleotide non-coding RNA. Lineage: Eukaryota; Viridiplantae; Streptophyta; Magnoliopsida; Fabales; Fabaceae. The record is from the annotation of a GenBank genome assembly.